RNAcentral lists this ribosomal RNA (421 nucleotides) under uncultured archaeon. Its description in RNAcentral is "partial 16S ribosomal RNA". It matches the Rfam family "Archaeal small subunit ribosomal RNA", at positions 323 to 746 of the family's 1478-position model. The record is from RNAcentral.
CUACGGGCGGCUGCAGUUAAGUAUAAUCUACAAUGUGCGAAAGCGUGAUAGUUUGAGCCAGAGUGCUAUUCUUUUGAAUAGCUUUUAUGAAAUGUAAAAAGUUUCUUGAAUAAGGACUGGGUAAGACAGGUGCCAGCCGCCGCGGUAAUACCUGCGGUCCAAGUCGUAAUCACUUUUAUUAGGUCUAAAACAUCCGUAGCUCGCUUUGUAAGUUCCUUGUGAAAUCCGGUAUCUUAAGUAUCGGGCGGGCAGGGAAUACUGCAUAGCUAGAGACUGGAAGACGUAAGAAGUAUGUUCAAAGUAGCGGUCAAAUGUGUUAAUCUUGAGCAGACUAACAACAGCGAAGGCAUCUUACGAGGACAGUUCUGACAGUAAGGGAUGAAGGCUAGGGGCGCAAAAGGGAUUAGAUACCCCAGUAGUC